ACAUGCAAGUCGAACGGUAACAGAGAGCAGCUUGCUGCUCUGCUGACGAGUGGCGGACGGGUGAGUAAUGUCUGGGAAACUGCCUGAUGGAGGGGGAUAACUACUGGAAACGGUAGCUAAUACCGCAUAACGUCUACGGACCAAAGUGGGGGACCUUCGGGCCUCAUGCCAUCAGAUGUGCCCAGAUGGGAUUAGCUAGUAGGUGGGGUAACGGCUCACCUAGGCGACGAUCCCUAGCUGGUCUGAGAGGAUGACCAGCCACACUGGAACUGAGACACGGUCCAGACUCCUACGGGAGGCAGCAGUGGGGAAUAUUGCACAAUGGGCGCAAGCCUGAUGCAGCCAUGCCGCGUGUAUGAAGAAGGCCUUCGGGUUGUAAAGUACUUUCAGCGGGGAGGAAGGCGUUGUGGUUAAUAACCACAGCGAUUGACGUUACCCGCAGAAGAAGCACCGGCUAACUCCGUGCCAGCAGCCGCGGUAAUACGGAGGGUGCAAGCGUUAAUCGGAAUUACUGGGCGUAAAGCGCACGCAGGCGGUCUGUUAAGUCAGAUGUGAAAUCCCCGGGCUCAACCUGGGAACUGCAUUUGAAACUGGCAGGCUUGAGUCUCGUAGAGGGGGGUAGAAUUCCAGGUGUAGCGGUGAAAUGCGUAGAGAUCUGGAGGAAUACCGGUGGCGAAGGCGGCCCCCUGGACGAAGACUGACGCUCAGGUGCGAAAGCGUGGGGAGCAAACAGGAUUAGAUACCCUGGUAGUCCACGCCGUAAACGAUGUCGACUUGGAGGUUGUGCCCUUGAGGCGUGGCUUCCGGAGCUAACGCGUUAAGUCGACCGCCUGGGGAGUACGGCCGCAAGGUUAAAACUCAAAUGAAUUGACGGGGGCCCGCACAAGCGGUGGAGCAUGUGGUUUAAUUCGAUGCAACGCGAAGAACCUUACCUGGUCUUGACAUCCAGAGAAUCCUGCAGAGAUGCGGGAGUGCCUUCGGGAACUCUGAGACAGGUGCUGCAUGGCUGUCGUCAGCUCGUGUUGUGAAAUGUUGGGUUAAGUCCCGCAACGAGCGCAACCCUUAUCCUUUGUUGCCAGCGGUCCGGCCGGGAACUCAAAGGAGACUGCC
RNAcentral lists this ribosomal RNA (1110 nucleotides) under Cronobacter sakazakii. RNAcentral's name for it is "bacterial SSU rRNA". It matches the Rfam family "Bacterial small subunit ribosomal RNA", at positions 53 to 1153 of the family's 1533-position model. The record is from RNAcentral. Lineage: Bacteria; Pseudomonadati; Pseudomonadota; Gammaproteobacteria; Enterobacterales; Enterobacteriaceae.